GUGCCAGCAGCCGCGGUAAUACGGAGGUGGCGAGCGUUGUUCGGAAUUACUGGGCGUAAAGGGCGCGUAGGCGGGGGGAGAAGUCGGGUGUGAAAGCCCUCGGCUCAACCGAGGAACGGCGCUCGAGACUCUCUUUCUUGAGUCCCGGAGAGGCGGGUGGAAUUCCUGGUGUAGCGGUGAAAUGUGUAGAGAUCAGGAGGAACACCGGUGGCGUAAGCGGCCCGCUGGACGGAGACUGACGCUGAGGCGCGAAAGCGUGGGGAGCAAACGGGAUUAGAAACCCCCGUAGUCC
Molecule: ribosomal RNA, 292 nt
Filed under: uncultured bacterium
Lineage: Bacteria
Description: partial 16S ribosomal RNA
Rfam family: Bacterial small subunit ribosomal RNA
Source: RNAcentral